This 66-nucleotide transfer RNA is filed under the name Callosobruchus maculatus (cowpea weevil). RNAcentral describes it as "tRNA-His". The record is from RNAcentral. Lineage: Eukaryota; Metazoa; Arthropoda; Insecta; Coleoptera; Chrysomelidae.
AUUCAAAUAGUUUAAUUAAAAAUAUUGAUUUGUGAUAUCAGAGAUAUAAAAUUUUUAUUUUGAAUU